This 1375-nucleotide ribosomal RNA is filed under the name Carterocephalus silvicola (northern checquered skipper). RNAcentral describes it as "16S ribosomal RNA". Lineage: Eukaryota; Metazoa; Arthropoda; Insecta; Lepidoptera; Hesperiidae. The record is from RNAcentral.
UUGGGGUAAAUUUAAUAAAAAAAAAAUAAUAAAAGAAAUUUUAUAAAAAUAUAUUUUAAUGGGGGUUAAAGUAUAUAUAAUAGAAAAAAUUUGAAAUUUUAUAGUGAAUUAGUAUUGUGUAAGAAUAUUGAAAUAUUAUGAAAAUAAAUUAUUAAGAAAGUAAAUUUAAUUUAUUGUAUCUUGAGUAUCAAAGUUUAUUAAUAAAAUUUUUCAAAAAAAAAAAUCUUGAAUUUAAAAGAGUUAAUUAAUUAAAAAAGUUAUUGUUUCAUAAAUAUUUUUAAUAAUUAAUUUGAAAUGAAAUGUUAAUCGUUUUUAAAUAUAUCCAGUUUUUUUAGAAAUAAAUUUAAUUUAAAAUUUUUUUUUAUAAAAAUUAAUUAAUUAAUUUUUAUUUAUAAAAAUUUAAUAUUUUAAGGGAUAAGCUUUAAAUUAAAAUUUUAUAAUAAAUAAUUAUUAGAAUUUAAAAUUUUUAAAAUUUAUAUUGUUUAUAAAUUUUAUUUUUUUAUAAAAAAUUUUAUUUUUAAUAAAAUUUUUGAUUACAUAUUUAAUUUUUUAUAAAAAAAUAAUUUUUAAUAAGUUAAAAUUAGUUAUAAUGAUAAAAUUAGUAUAAUUUAAAUAAGAUUUAAUUUUAAUAUAUUUAAAAGUAAAAAAAAGGAAUUCGGCAAAUAUUUAUAUUCACUUGUUUAUCAAAAACAUGUCUUUUUGAGAAUAAUUUAAAGUCUAAUCUGCCCACUGAUUAAAUAGAUUAAAGGGCUGCAGUAUAUUGACUGUACAAAGGUAGCAUAAUCAUUAGUCUUUUGAUUGAAGACUUGUAUGAAAGAUUUGAUGAAAUAUAAACUGUCUCUUUUUUAUAAUUUGAAUUUAAUUUUUUAGUUAAAAAGCUAAAAUAAAUUUAAAAGACGAGAAGACCCUAUAGAGUUUGAUAAUUAAUUUAAUUAUAAUUUUAUAUGAAUAAUUUAAUAAAAAUUAAAUUAAUUAUUUUAUUGGGGUGAUAAAAAAAUUAAAUAAACUUUUUUUAUUAGUUAACAUUAAUUAAUGAAUUUAUGAUCCAUAAUUUAUGAUUAUAAGAAAAAAUUACCUUAGGGAUAACAGCGUAAUUUUUUUUUUUAGUUCAAAUAAAAAUAAAAGUUUGCGACCUCGAUGUUGGAUUAAGAUAAAAUUUAAAUGCAGAAGUUUAAAAUUUUUGAUCUGUUCGAUCAUUAAAAUCUUACAUGAUCUGAGUUCAAACCGGUGUAAGCCAGGUUGGUUUCUAUCUUUAGAUGAUUAAAAUAUUUUAGUACGAAAGGAUUAAAUAUUUAAAAUAUAUUUUAAUUUAAAGAACUUCAUUAAAAAUUUAUAAAUAUAUUAAUUAUUAAUUAUAAUUUAUACAAAUAGUUAC